GGCAGGGGUGUGGGUACGCUGGGCUGCUCUGCCCUGCAGAGGGAAACUGAAAGCCUGUGUGCUUCCUGAGGAUGGGAUGGGGAUGCGGGAGCCCGUCACCCUGCCGUGGUGAUGCGUGGAGGGUGUCUGCAGGGAAAGUGGCUUGAAGGGACUUUUUGCAUUGGUCGUUCUACUGCUUGUAACUGACCAAGUGCACGAGUGUUUCCUGUGCCCCGCAGGUGCUGGAGCAGCUCCAGCCUGGGGCCCUGGGCACGUGCUGGUAGCUGAAUUGAAAAUGGAAAAGGGUGUGGAGAAGAAAUAUAUAAUAAAGCAGGUGCAGUGCAUUAAAGAAAAGCAAGCAAAUGAGGCCUUGAAGGAGGCAAUGAAUUUGCUAAAAUUUCAUCACUCAAACAUCUGUACUUACAAGGAAUCGUUUGUGACUUGGGAUAAUAAGGUGUCAUGUCUGUUCCUUCAUCUGGUAAUGCAGCACUCAGGCCAAGGAGAUCUUUCAUCAAGGAAAAAAGGCAGAAGUCGGAAAAAAUAACAGACAUGGUGGUUGUGAAAUUCCUGGGACAGAUGGUGGAUGCUUUGUUUUAUAUAAACAAACAAAAUAUUUUCCACAGGUGAGUAGAAAUCUCGUUCUCUGUGUCUGACAGGUGACUGCUCUUUGCAGUGACUGUUGGUUCAGCACAGCUGCUCAGAGGCAGUGAUUUUUACUGUUCUGAAAGGGGGAGUAGGAGCUAGAAAUUCU
Molecule: RNA transcript, 730 nt
Organism: Neopsephotus bourkii (Bourke's parrot)
Lineage: Eukaryota; Metazoa; Chordata; Aves; Psittaciformes; Psittacidae
Gene: STKLD1
Gene name: serine/threonine kinase like domain containing 1
Exons: 5
Source: RefSeq, a predicted model, not a curated record